Molecule: ribosomal RNA, 218 nt
Filed under: uncultured bacterium
Lineage: Bacteria
Description: partial 16S ribosomal RNA
Rfam family: Bacterial small subunit ribosomal RNA
Source: RNAcentral
GCAAGUCGAGCGCACCUUCGGGUGAGCGGCGGACGGGUUAGUAACGCGUGGGAACGUACCCAGAUCUAAGGAAUAGCCACUGGAAACGGUGAGUAAUACCUUAUACGCCCUUCGGGGGAAAGAUUUAUCGGAUUUGGAUCGGCCCGCGUUAGAUUAGGUAGUUGGUGGGGUAAUGGCCCACCAAGCCUACGAUCCAUAGCUGGUUUGAGAGGAUGAUC